GGAAAACAACAUUCCGACGAGGAUAUCUUCUCUGUCUUUAAGGAGUGUUUCAAUGAUCCACAUGAGACCACUCAGAAGCUCCUCUAUUUAGAUACAUUUCAUGAGGUGAGAAGCAAAAGGGAGAGAAAGAAAGAGAAUUUAGUACUAAAUACACAAGGAAGGAGCAGGACUGCACGGAGGAACUUUGGUUCAAGUUAUACAGAUACCAGCAAUGGAAGAAGUGCAGCUUUUAAAAAGCAGAGUGGAGCUAAU
Camelina sativa (false flax) is the source of this 252-nucleotide non-coding RNA. The record is from RefSeq and is a predicted model, not a curated record. Lineage: Eukaryota; Viridiplantae; Streptophyta; Magnoliopsida; Brassicales; Brassicaceae.